GCCGGAGUGGCGGAAUGGUAUACGCACACGACUCAAAAUCGUGCGGGGCAACCCAUAAGAGUUCGAGUCUCUUCUCCGGCA
Molecule: transfer RNA, 81 nt
Filed under: Candidatus Kaiserbacteria bacterium
Lineage: Bacteria; Candidatus Kaiseribacteriota
Also listed under: 1 other name
Description: tRNA-Leu
Rfam family: tRNA
About the family: Transfer RNA (tRNA) molecules are approximately 80 nucleotides in length. Their secondary structure includes four short double-helical elements and three loops (D, anti-codon, and T loops). Further hydrogen bonds mediate the characteristic L-shaped molecular structure. tRNAs have two regions of fundamental functional importance: the anti-codon, which is responsible for specific mRNA codon recognition, and the 3' end, to which the tRNAs corresponding amino acid is attached (by aminoacyl-tRNA synthetases). tRNAs cope with the degeneracy of the genetic code in two manners: having more than one tRNA (with a specific anti-codon) for a particular amino acid; and 'wobble' base-pairing, i.e. permitting non-standard base-pairing at the 3rd anti-codon position.
Source: RNAcentral